This 253-nucleotide ribosomal RNA is filed under the name uncultured bacterium. RNAcentral's name for it is "partial 16S ribosomal RNA". It matches the Rfam family "Bacterial small subunit ribosomal RNA", at positions 524 to 776 of the family's 1533-position model. The record is from RNAcentral.
UACGAAGGGGGCUAGCGUUGCUCGGAAUGACUGGGCGUAAAGGGCGCGUAGGCGGCACACAUAGUCAGGCGUGAAAUUCCUGGGCUUAACCUGGGGGCUGCGUUUGAUACAUGUGAGCUAGAGGAUGGAAGAGGCUCGUGGAAUUCCCAGUGUAGAGGUGAAAUUCGUAGAUAUUGGGAAGAACACCAGUGGCGAAGGCGGCGCCUGGGCCAAUAUUGACGCUGAGGUGCGGAAAGCGUGGGGAGCGAACAGG